Molecule: ribosomal RNA, 383 nt
Filed under: uncultured eukaryote
Lineage: Eukaryota
Description: SSU rRNA
Rfam family: Eukaryotic small subunit ribosomal RNA
Source: RNAcentral
AGCUCUAAUAGCGUAUACUAAAGUUGUUGUGGUUAAAAAGCUCGUAGUUGGAUCUCAGUUCUAGUCAGACGGUCCACUUGCCAGUGGUUACUGUCUGGCUGAACACUUUAUCGAGUUGUCCUACGGUAUUCUUAAUCGAGUGUCGUAGGCGAUCGAUACGUAUACUUUGAAAAAAUUAGAGUGCUCAAAGCAGGCUUUAAAAGCUUGAAUAAUGUUGCAUGGAAUAUUGGAAUAGGACCUCGGUUCUAUUUUGUUGGUCUUCGGAAUCUGAGGUAAUGAUUAAGAGGGACAGACGGGGGCAUUCGUAUUGCGACGCUAGAGGUGAAAUUCUUGGACCGUUGCAAGACGAACUAAAGCGAAGGCAUUUGCCAAGAAUGUUUUCA